GGGCUGCAGUAUUUUGACUGUACAAAGGUAGCAUAAUCAAUAGUCUCUUAAUUGGUGACUUGUAUGAAAGAUUGGAUGAAAUAUAUACUGUCUCUAAUUAAUUUAUAGAAAUUAAUUUUUUAGUAAAAAAGCUAAAAUAAUUUUAAAAGACGAGAAGACCCUAUAGAGUUUAAUAAUUUAUUUAAUUAUAUUUAUUAUAUAAUUUUUAAAAUUAAAAUUAAAUGAAUUAUUUUGUUGGGGUGAUAGAAAAAUUAAAUUAACUUUUUUUAAUUGUUAACAUUGAUUUAUGAAUAAAUGAUCCAUUAAUAAUGAUUAAAAGAAAAAAUUACCUUAGGGAUAACAGCGUAAUUUUUUUUUUUAGUUCAAAUAGGAAAAAAAGUUUGCGACCUCGAUGUUGGAUUAA
RNAcentral lists this ribosomal RNA (403 nucleotides) under Papilio sataspes artaphernes. RNAcentral's name for it is "partial 16S ribosomal RNA". Lineage: Eukaryota; Metazoa; Arthropoda; Insecta; Lepidoptera; Papilionidae. The record is from RNAcentral.